GAUGAAGAACGCACCGAAAUGCGAUACUUGGUGUGAAUUGCAGAAUCCCGUGAACCAUCGAGUCUUUGAACGCAAGUUGCGCCCGAAGCCAUUAGGCCGAGGGCACGCCUGCCUGGGCGUCACACGUCGUUGCCCCCCCAUCUACUCCUUCGGGAUUGCGGGGGGCGGAUGAUGGCCUCCCGUGCGCCUCGUCGCGCGGUUGGCAUAAAUGCCAAGUCCUCGGCGACGCACGCCACGACAAUCGGUGGUUGCGAAACCUCGGUUGCCCGUCGUGUGCGGUCGUCGCGCAUCGAGGGCUCGAAAAAAUUGCCGGGCUCCGGCUCGGCUUUCAACGCGACCCCAGGUCAGGCGGGGUUACCCGCUGAAUUUAAGCAUAUCAAUAAGCGGAGGA
This 391-nucleotide unclassified non-coding RNA is filed under the name soil metagenome. Its description in RNAcentral is "partial contains 5.8S ribosomal RNA, internal transcribed spacer 2, and large subunit ribosomal RNA". The stretch from base 1 to 122 matches the Rfam family "5.8S ribosomal RNA", at positions 35 to 154 of the family's 154-position model. The record is from RNAcentral.